Molecule: ribosomal RNA, 599 nt
Filed under: uncultured archaeon
Lineage: Archaea
Description: bacterial SSU rRNA
Rfam family: Archaeal small subunit ribosomal RNA
Source: RNAcentral
CACUGACUGCUAUCGGAUUGGUACUAAGCCAUGCGAGUCGUUGUAGCAAUACAAGGCGGACUGCUCAGUAACACGUAGUUAACUUAACCUAUGGAUGGGAAUAACCUCGGGAAACUGAGAAUAAUACCCAAUGGGCCACAGUGCCUGGAAUGGCCUGUGGUUGAAAUGAUUUAUCGCCGUAGGAUAGGACUGCGGCCUAUCAGCUUGUUGGUGAGGUAAUGGCCCACCAAGGCUAUAACAGGUACGGGCUCUGAGAGGAGGGGCCCGGAGAUGGGUACUGAGACACGGACCCAGGCCCUAUGGGGCGCAGCAGGCGAGAAACCUUUGCAAUGUGCGAAAGCACGACAAGGUUAAUCCGAGUGUCUCCUGCUAAAGGAGUCUUUUGUCAGUUGUAGAAUCACUGGUGAAUAAGGGGUGGGCAAGUUCUGGUGUCAGCCGCCGCGGUAAAACCAGCACCUCGAGUGGUCAGGAGGUUUAUUGGGCCUAAAGCAUCCGUAGCCGGUUGCAUAAGUUUUCGGUUAAAUCUAUGCGCUUAACGUAUAGGCCCGCCGAAAAUACUGUGCAGCUAGGGAGUGGGAGAGGUACCCGGUACUCGAUAG